Long non-coding RNA from Rhineura floridana, 914 nucleotides. RefSeq lists it as uncharacterized. The transcript is spliced from 2 exons. NCBI's taxonomy places the organism in Eukaryota, Metazoa, Chordata, Lepidosauria, Squamata, Rhineuridae. The record is from RefSeq and is a predicted model, not a curated record.
CAGGAGACCACCAUUCCCCUCAUAGGACUACAGUUCCUAGAGUUUCCUGGGAAGAAGGAUUGUCUGUUAAACCACACUGGGAAUUGUAGCCCUGUGCAGGGAACUCCCAGCACCCUUAACAAAUUACAGUUCCCAGAAUUCUUUGGGGAAGCCAUGACUGUUUAAAGUGGUAUGACAUUGCUUUAAAUGUAUGGUGGAGAUGGGGUCUUUAAAUGUUUCCUUGCAGCUAUAACUGCCCAGAUAGGAGUGUUCCUGUCAAUGUUUUCAAGUGAGUUGCUAUUGGGCCUAGUCAGCUUAAGGAAACAGUGCCAGGAAAAGGAAGAAGGCUGGACUCUUAAUUUUGUCAUUUCGCUGAGCCAAAGGCCUUGACUGUUGCUUCAGAGCUUUGCUGUGGGGGUCAAACGUUGUAGAUGAAACGUUCAACGAAUUGUCAGAACGCUUUGAACCAACUGUGGGGACCUGGUUCUGCAUUUCCUUUCUGAGAAACGCCCCUCUUGUCCUCCACCUUAACAGUCCAGUUUUCAUCAUCGUAAGAUGCAACAGCUUAUAUCAAUGAAUGAAUGGAUGGAUGGAUUUCAGCUAUUUAUUUGCUACCUCAUCCCUGAAGCUUCUAAGCAGCAUAUAAUAAUAUACAGUGGACAUUAAUCAGUGGCUUGUAUCCAAGCAAGCCUUCCUCACAGUAGAUGGAUUGAAAUGAGUAGACCUCUGAAUGCUGGUUGUUGAGUUCAAAUGGGCAAAGUGCUACUGCAGUCAGGUCCUGCUUGUGGGCUUCCCAGAGGCAUCUGGUUGGCCACUGUGAGAAAACAGGAUUCUGGACUACAUGGACCUUUGGCCUGAUCCAACAGGGCUCUUAAGGUAUUGUUGCACUGUCAUUGUGAUUAUCAUUAGAUACAAUAUAAUGCACAUCAACCUGC